AGGACGAACGCUGGCGGCGCGCUUAACACAUGCAAGUCGAGCGAGAACCGGUCCUUCGGGACCGGGGAAAGCGGCGAACGGGUGAGUAACACGUGGGUAAUCAACCCUCAGUACCGGGAUAGCCCGAGGAAACUCGGAUUAAUACCGGAUGGCCCAACAGCUCUUCGGGGCGGUUGGAAAAGGUAGCUUCGGCCUCCGACUGAGGACGAGCCCGCGGCGGAUUAGCUUGUUGGCGGGGUAAUGGCCCACCAAGGCGACGAUCCGUAGCUGGUCUGAGAGGACGAUCAGCCACACUGGGACUGAGACACGGCCCAGACUCCUACGGGAGGCAGCAGUGGGGAAUCUUGCACAAUGGGCGAAAGCCUGAUGCAGCGACGCCGCGUGAGGGAAGAAGGCUUUCGGGUUGUAAACCUCUUUCAGGAGGGACGAAGCUACUCGGGUUAAUAGCCCAGAGGGUGACGGUACCUUCAGAAGAAGCCCCGGCUAACGUACGUGCCAGCAGCCGC
This 506-nucleotide ribosomal RNA is filed under the name uncultured bacterium. RNAcentral describes it as "SSU rRNA". It matches the Rfam family "Bacterial small subunit ribosomal RNA", at positions 26 to 518 of the family's 1533-position model. The record is from RNAcentral.